UGUAGUGCUUAUAGCGAAGAGGUCACACCCGAUACCAUCCCGAACUCGGAAGUUAAGCUCUUCUGUGCUAAUCAUACUAUACUGGCAACGGUAUGGAAAAGUAGGACGGUGCUACAC
RNAcentral lists this ribosomal RNA (117 nucleotides) under Deltaproteobacteria bacterium. The record is from RNAcentral. Lineage: Bacteria; Pseudomonadati; Myxococcota; Myxococcia.